AACGAACGCUGGCGGCAUGCCUAACACAUGCAAGUCGAACGAGACCUUCGGGUCUAGUGGCGCACGGGUGCGUAACGCGUGGGAACAUGCCCUUAGGUUCGGAAUAACUCCUCGAAAGGGGCGCUAAUACCGGAUAAUGUUUUCGGACCAAAGAUUUAUCGCCUUUGGAUGGGCCCGCGUUGGAUUAGCUAGUUGGUAGGGUAAAAGCCUACCAAGGCGACGAUCCAUAGCUGGUCUGAGAGGAUGAUCAGCCACACUGGGACUGAGACACGGCCCAGACUCCUACGGGAGGCAGCAGUGGGGAAUAUUGGACAAUGGGCGAAAGCCUGAUCCAGCAAUGCCGCGUGAGUGAUGAAGGCCUUAGGGUUGUAAAGCUCUUUUACCCGGGAUGAUAAUGACAGUACCGGGAGAAUAAGCUCCGGCUAACUCCGUG
This 433-nucleotide ribosomal RNA is filed under the name uncultured bacterium. RNAcentral describes it as "partial 16S ribosomal RNA". It matches the Rfam family "Bacterial small subunit ribosomal RNA", at positions 29 to 507 of the family's 1533-position model. The record is from RNAcentral.